GAUGAACGCUAGCUACAGGCUUAACACAUGCAAGUCGAGGGGAAACGAUAGGGAAAGCUUGCUUUUUCUAGGCGUCGACCGGCGCACGGGUGAGUAACGCGUAUCCAACCUGCCCAUCACUUGGGGAUAACCUUGCGAAAGUAAGACUAAUACCCAAUGACGUCUCUAGAAGACAUCUGAAGGAGAUUAAAGAUUUAUCGGUGAUGGAUGGGAUGCGUCUGAUUAGCUUGUUGGCGGGGUAACGGCCCACCAAGGCGACGAUCAGUAGGGGUUCUGAGAGGAAGGUCCCCCACAUUGGAACUGAGACACGGUCCAAACUCCUACGGGAGGCAGCAGUGAGGAAUAUUGGUCAAUGGACGAGAGUCUGAGCCAGCCAAGUAGCGUGCAGGAAGACGGCCCUAUGGGUUGUAAACUGCUUUUAUAAGGGAAUAAAGUGAGUCUCGUGAGACUUUUUGCAUGUACCUUAUGAAUAAGGACCGGCUAAUUCCGUGCCAGCAGCCGCCGCAG
RNAcentral lists this ribosomal RNA (507 nucleotides) under uncultured bacterium. Its description in RNAcentral is "partial 16S ribosomal RNA". It matches the Rfam family "Bacterial small subunit ribosomal RNA", at positions 28 to 523 of the family's 1533-position model. The record is from RNAcentral.